This 253-nucleotide ribosomal RNA is filed under the name uncultured bacterium. RNAcentral's name for it is "partial 16S ribosomal RNA". It matches the Rfam family "Bacterial small subunit ribosomal RNA", at positions 524 to 776 of the family's 1533-position model. The record is from RNAcentral.
UACGUAGGGUGCAAGCGUUGUCCGGAAUUAUUGGGCGUAAAGAGCUCGUAGGCGGUUUGUCGCGUCGGCUGUGAAAACUCGGGGCUCAACCCCGAGCCUGCAGUCGAUACGGGCAAACUAGAGUGUGGUAGGGGAGACUGGAAUUCCUGGUGUAGCGGUGAAAUGCGCAGAUAUCAAGAGGAACACCGGCGGCGAAGGCGGGUCUCUGGGCCAUAACUGACGCUGAGGAGCGAAAGCGUGGGGAGCGAACAGG